GGCUGGAUAUCCUCUGAGGCAAAGGGCUCAUAACUAAAAGGAGAAUUAGUAGAAAAAUGCAAAUGUCUAAAAAAUUCAGACCUAGUCCUGAGUAGGCACUCGAUAAAAUGCAUGUGAGUAAAUCAGUGAGACUGUUUCACCUUGUCAAGGAGAUAUCAUUCUGAAAAUGUUUUUGGUAAAAGAUAAUGUUUGUUGGAAGAAUAAUCAGACUCUACAUUGUUCCAAGGAAGAUGUUUUUGUCUGUAUUUUUCUGUCUAUUCAAGAGUGGAAAAGAGGCUUGCUUUUUACUCUAUGCUCUUUUUGAACUGUUGCAUUAAAAAAGAUUCAUGUCCAUAUUUUAUCUUUAAAAAACAUAAUAGAAGAGAAAGAGUCUUUGCUUUUUGUAACUUUGCCUGUGCUUUCUGAAACUUACCUACAUUGUAACAUACAUGAAUUUAGGGACCUACACCAGAAAGAUUCAGGGGACUACUCAUCUUUCCUAGACCUACUUUUGUAUUCUGGGGCCAUAAUCUAGCAGAGGCAUCAAGAUUAGAGGCAUAUUUAUCAUUGUUGUUAAAACUGUCUACAGGAUAACUGCACAGGACUUUUCUAGUUCAAGGGCCCUUACAUGAAGGUAUUUAAUAGCCCAAAUUCAAGAAGAGAUUCCCCAUUUCUGAAGACUGCAUGUUAGGCU
Molecule: long non-coding RNA, 673 nt
Filed under: Bos taurus (domestic cattle)
Lineage: Eukaryota; Metazoa; Chordata; Mammalia; Artiodactyla; Bovidae
Description: long non-coding RNA NONBTAT016661
Source: RNAcentral